RNAcentral lists this small nucleolar RNA (140 nucleotides) under Malurus cyaneus samueli. Its description in RNAcentral is "Small nucleolar RNA SNORA12 (ENSMCSG00000010417.1)". It matches the Rfam family "Small nucleolar RNA SNORA12". From Rfam's summary of the family: U108 belongs to the H/ACA family of snoRNAs. The sequence is predicted to guide the pseudouridylation of the U372 residue in the 28S rRNA subunit. Lineage: Eukaryota; Metazoa; Chordata; Aves; Passeriformes; Maluridae. The record is from Rfam by way of RNAcentral.
UAGUGUGGUGGUUGCUGUUUGUGGCAGAUCUCUAAGUGUAUCAGAUCUGUAUCAGAACUACCACAGACAUCACAAAGGAGAAGGCUAUGCUGAGAACUUCAAGCUUUCAGUUUUCAGCUCCCUGUCCAGCUCCUACAGGA